This 270-nucleotide ribosomal RNA is filed under the name uncultured archaeon. RNAcentral describes it as "partial 16S ribosomal RNA". It matches the Rfam family "Archaeal small subunit ribosomal RNA", at positions 477 to 747 of the family's 1478-position model. The record is from RNAcentral.
CAGCUCUCCGAGUGGUAGGGAUGAUUAUUGGGCUUAAAGCGUCCGUAGCCUGCUUAGCAAGUCUCCUGUUAAAUUCAGCGACCUAAUCGUUGAGCCGCGGGAGAUACUACUAGGCUAGGAGGCGGGAGAGGUCGACGGUACUUCUGGGGUAGGGGUGAAAUCCUAUAAUCCCAGGAGGACCACCAGUGGCGAAGGCUGUCGACUAGAACGCGCCCGACGGUGAGGGAUGAAAGCUGGGGGAGCGAACCGGAUUAGAUACCCGAGUAGUCC